This 253-nucleotide ribosomal RNA is filed under the name uncultured bacterium. Its description in RNAcentral is "partial 16S ribosomal RNA". It matches the Rfam family "Bacterial small subunit ribosomal RNA", at positions 524 to 776 of the family's 1533-position model. The record is from RNAcentral.
UACAGAGGUCUCGAGCGUUGUUCGGAUUCAUUGGGCGUAAAGGGCGCGUAGGCGGCGGGGUAAGUCUGGUGUGAAAUCUCGGAGCUCAACUCCGAAAUGGCAUUGGAAACUACCUUGCUCGAGGGUUGGAGGGGGGACUGGAAUACUUGGUGUAGCAGUGAAAUGCGUAGAUAUCAAGUGGAACACCAGUGGCGAAGGCGAGUCCCUGGACAACUCCUGACACUGAGGCACGAAAGCUAGGGGAGCAAACAGG